This 498-nucleotide ribosomal RNA is filed under the name uncultured bacterium. Its description in RNAcentral is "partial 16S ribosomal RNA". It matches the Rfam family "Bacterial small subunit ribosomal RNA", at positions 29 to 523 of the family's 1533-position model. The record is from RNAcentral.
AUUGAACGCUGGCGGCAUGCCUUACACAUGCAAGUCGAACGGUAACGCGGGGCAACCUGGCGACGAGUGGCGAACGGGUGAGUAAUGCAUCGGAACGUGCCCAGUAGUGGGGGAUAGACCGGCGAAAGCCGGAUUAAUACCGCAUACGACCUACGGGUGGAAGGGGGGGAUCGCAAGACCUCUCGCUAUUGGAGCGGCCGAUGUCAGAUUAGGUAGUUGGUGGGGUAAAGGACUACCAAGCCUACGAUCUGUAGCUGGUCUGAGAGGACGACCAGCCAAACUGGGACUGAGACACGGCCCAGACUCCUACGGGAGGCAGCAGUGGGGAAUUUUGGACAAUGGGCGCAAGCCUGAUCCAGCCAUGCCGCGUGCGGGAAGAAGGCCUUCGGGUUGUAAACCGCUUUUGUCGGGGAAGAAAUCUUCUGGGCUAAUACCUCGGGAGGAUGACGGUACCCGAAGAAUAAGCACCGGCUAACUACGUGCCAGCCGCCGCAGUAA